CUUUGUUCUCAUACAUGGAUCCUAUCUCGGAUUUCAUGGCCUCAAGCCAUUUGUUGGAAUCCAGGCCCGCCAUCGCUUCUUCAUAGUUCGAAGGUUCACUAUUGUCCAACAACAUGACUUCCAUGACAGGGUUGUCGUACCACUCUGGUGCGGAACGUGUCCUUGUGGACCUUCGAGGUUCAAAAGCAACUUGAUCUGAAAUUUCAUGAUCAUCAUAAUUAAC
RNAcentral lists this long non-coding RNA (223 nucleotides) under Hordeum vulgare. RNAcentral describes it as "long non-coding RNA (HVUL_LNC008945)". The record is from RNAcentral. Lineage: Eukaryota; Viridiplantae; Streptophyta; Magnoliopsida; Poales; Poaceae.